UGGUACAGCCACUUUGGAAGACAGUUUGGCAGUUUCUUACAAAACUAAACAUACUCUAUCCAUACAGUCCAGCAAUUGCAAUUCUUGGUAUUUACCCAAAUGAGCUGAAAACAUGUCUACACAAAUACCUGCAUAGAGAAGUCCAUAGCACCUUUAUUCAUAAUUGCCAAAACUUGGAAGCAACCAAGAUGUCCUUUAGUAGAUGAGUGUCUAAAUAAAUUGUGGUACAUCCAGGCUUUGGAAUAUUAUUCACCAUGAAAAAGAAAUGAGCUAUGAAGCCACAAAAAGGCAUACAAAAAACUUAAAUUGAUAUUCCUGCUGAGGCAGGAGGAUCACUUCAGCCUAGGAGUUCAAGAUCAGCCGAAGCAAUAUAGUGAGAUCUCAUCUCUACCAAAACAAAACAAAACAAAAAAACAAGUGAAAGAAGCCAAUCUGAAAAGGAUACAUACUGCGUAACUCAAAGUAUAUGACACUCUGGAAAAGGCAAAACUAUGGGGAUAGUAAAAAGAUUAGUGGUUGUCAGGAAUUGGGGGAAGGGAGGGAUGUCAGGAAUUGGGGGAAGGGAGCGAUGAAUAGGCAGAGCAGAGUAUUUUUAGGGCAAUUAAAUUAUUUUUUACAAUGAUAAACACACGUCUUUAUAUCUUCGUCAAAACCUAUCAAUUAGAACCAAGUGAUCACAGCAGAAAAAAAAAGAAAAAGAAAAAGAAAAAACCCUAUAGAAUGUACACCGCCAAAAGUGAACCCUAAUGUAAACUAUGGACUUUGGGUGACAAUGAUGAGUCAAUGUAGGUUCAUCAAACAUACACCACUGUGGUGUGGGAUAUUGAUUCGGGGAAGGGUGUCCAAGUGUGGGGAAAGGAAAGUGGUAUAUAAGAACUCUGUUUUCCACUCAAUUUUGCUAUGAACCUAAAACUGCUCUAAAAGAUAAAGUUUAUUAAUUUUUUAAAAAAAGAUUUGCCGCCUCAUCCUGUGUUCAAUUUUUUUUAAAAAAAAUUAUAUGCGCAGAAAAGGGUUGGUAGAAAUAUUGCAGAGUUGAUAUCCAGAUAACAAAGAAUGUCUAUAAGUCAAUAAAGAAAAAAAUUGUAAACCCUAUUUAAAAUUUAAAAGUAGGCAGUUCACAGAAAGCACACAAAUAGGGAACUUCAUUCCUAGGAAGAUGGCAGGCUAUGUUAUUUGUAUCAGCACUAAAAACUAAAAAUGCUAGAUUGUUUAAAAUUUUCAAAGCACUGAAAAGCUGAGAAUAUAAGUCAGCAAUCUAAGGAAAAGCCAGAACCUAGAGCAGUAAGGUGAGCAUUUAAGCAGCUUUUGCACUGUAGGAUAAUACCAAGUCUUCAAGUGUACUAACAUCCUUAUAUAAAAAAGAGCAGAGUGAAUCAAUCCAACUUCAAUUUUAGAAAAUUAAGUAUGCAUAUUAUAGAUUUACUAAAACAAUAAACAAAGUACAUAAACUCCAAACAGUGGGAAAAGAAUAGAAAAAUAAAAAUAAUUGCUCUAAAACACCCAAGAAUAUAUUAAAAAUAAGUAGAGAUGGGUCAAAGGAAUCACAAAAUGAAAUGUUAUACUUAAAUACAAAUAAGGUAUAUCUGUAAUUACAUUAAAUGAACUAAAAUGCUUCCACUGAAAGAGUGAAGUCAGACUACACUUUUUUAAAAAUGCAAAUAUAUGCUGCUUAUAAGUGACAUACCUCAAAUUAGAGAAAAUGUGAAAAUAAAAGGACAGAGAAAAUUUUCCUUGUAAAUAUUAAAAAAGAAAAAUAUAGUUACAGUAAUAUCAAAAAAUAAAUUUUCAGACAAAAAGCAUUACUAGAGAUUAAAAAAAGAGACAAUGACAAAAGAAUCAAUUCAUCUGGAAGCUCUUAAUUUGUCUUGAUGUACCUAAUGACAUAACCUUAAAAUGUAAAAAGCAAACAUUGACAGAACUACAAGGAGAAAUAGAAAAUACAAAAUUAUAAUAGGAAAGUUUAACAUGCUUUUUGUUUUUUUACCAAUUGACAGAACAAGCAAACAAAAAGUAGGAUAUAGACAUUUUAAAUAAAUUGCUGUACUUGACCAAAUAAUGCCAUGUGUGAAAGUAGUGAGUACACACAUGCCCUCACACAGAGUACCCAUCAAUAGCAGAAUACAUAUUCUUGUAAGUGUUCAUGCAAUAUUUAUUUUAAAAUGACGAUCUAUGGAGCCAAGAGGAUUUCAAAAGGAUUGUAAUCAUAGAUAGUGUGUCCUUAGACCACAAUGCAAUUAUGUUAGGAAUCAAUAAUAAAAACUAAUAUCUCCCUCUCCCUCUCCGUCUCCCCACGGUCUCCCUCUCCCUCUCUUUCCACGGUCUCCCUCUGAUGCCGAGCCGAAGCUGGACUGCAAUGACGUGAUCUCGGCUAGCUACAACCUCCACCUCCCAGCCGCCUGCCUUGGCCUCCCAAAGUGCCGAGAUUGCAGCCUCUGCCCGGCUGCCACCCCGUCUGGGAAGUGAGGAGCGUCUCUGCCUGGCCGCCCAUCAUCUGGGAUGUGAGAAGCCCCUCUGCCCAGCUGCCCAGUCUGGGAAGUGAGAAGCGCCUCUUCCCGGCCGCCAUCCCGUCUAGGAAGUGAGGAGCGUCUCUGCCCGGAUGCCCAUCGUCUGAGAUGUGGGGAGCGCCUCUGCCCCACCGCCCCGUCUGGGAUGUGAGGAGCACCUCUGCCCGGCCGCGACCCCAUCUGGGAGACUACCCUGCUGGACAAGAUUGCUUUUCAACUUGGAGGGAAGAAGUCUGGUUUCCACAUUCUUUCAUAUUUUAUUGAGUACAUUAUAACCUAAAC
RNAcentral lists this long non-coding RNA (2786 nucleotides) under Homo sapiens (human). RNAcentral's name for it is "HSALNT0307145". Lineage: Eukaryota; Metazoa; Chordata; Mammalia; Primates; Hominidae. The record is from RNAcentral.